RNAcentral lists this long non-coding RNA (375 nucleotides) under Androctonus crassicauda. The record is from RNAcentral. Lineage: Eukaryota; Metazoa; Arthropoda; Arachnida; Scorpiones; Buthidae.
GGGUGUACAGGGAACGGAGUCCCUGGCCUCCCUUGUGGAUUUCUCACGGCCCGCCUCUCCCGGGAACCAGCCUUUGUGCCGAGGCAGACCACUUUUCUAACACGCAGAUGACCCUGGUUCUGUGCGCGUCCAGUGUUGGGCAGCGGUGCUGGGACAACGCGGGCCUCCUCCCCGCGCCAGCGCCCCCGUAGUGGCAGCAGUGGCUUCUCCACCUGUGUUUGCACCAUCCUUUGCGCCCUGUGCCCUGGACCCGCAGAGAGUGGGAUGAGCCCCCGCCCCCGUCGGCACCUCUGUAGAGCUCUCUGCACCCUGUCCCUCACCUUUUGUAUUUAAUUUUAAAGUCAAUGUACUGCAAGGAAGCUGGAUGCAAGAUAG